Molecule: ribosomal RNA, 475 nt
Filed under: Bifidobacterium breve
Lineage: Bacteria; Bacillati; Actinomycetota; Actinomycetes; Bifidobacteriales; Bifidobacteriaceae
Description: bacterial SSU rRNA
Rfam family: Bacterial small subunit ribosomal RNA
Source: RNAcentral
GGCGUGCUUAACACAUGCAAGUCGAACGGGAUCCAUCGGGCUUUGCUUGGUGGUGAGAGUGGCGAACGGGUGAGUAAUGCGUGACCGACCUGCCCCAUGCACCGGAAUAGCUCCUGGAAACGGGUGGUAAUGCCGGAUGCUCCAUCACACCGCAUGGUGUGUUGGGAAAGCCUUUGCGGCAUGGGAUGGGGUCGCGUCCUAUCAGCUUGAUGGCGGGGUAACGGCCCACCAUGGCUUCGACGGGUAGCCGGCCUGAGAGGGCGACCGGCCACAUUGGGACUGAGAUACGGCCCAGACUCCUACGGGAGGCAGCAGUGGGGAAUAUUGCACAAUGGGCGCAAGCCUGAUGCAGCGACGCCGCGUGAGGGAUGGAGGCCUUCGGGUUGUAAACCUCUUUUGUUAGGGAGCAAGGCACUUUGUGUUGAGUGUACCUUUCGAAUAAGCACCGGCUAACUACGUGCCAGCAGCCGCGGUA